AUUCCAGCUCCAAUAGCGUAUAUUCAAGUUGUUGCAGUUAAAAAGCUCGUAGUUGAAUUUCGGACGCGGUUGGGCGGUUUAGUCGCAAGAUUAACACUGCUUUGACCGUGUCUUUUCUUCUAGGGAACUGUUCUGCUAUUUAUUUAGUGGUUCAGGGAUCUAGGACUGUUACUUUGAAAAAAUUAGAGUGUUUAAAACAGGCUUACGCUUGAAUACAUUAGCAUGGAAUAACGGAAUAGGACUUUGUUUUUAUUUUGUUGGUUUUGAAAAACGAGGUAAUGAUUAAUAGGGAUAGUUGGGGGCAUUAGUAUUCCAUAGUCAGAGGUGAAAUUCUUGGAUUUAUGAAAGACUAACUUCUGCGAAAGCAUUUGCCAAGGAUGUUUUCAUUA
This 389-nucleotide ribosomal RNA is filed under the name Chytridiomycetes sp. Its description in RNAcentral is "partial small subunit ribosomal RNA". It matches the Rfam family "Eukaryotic small subunit ribosomal RNA", at positions 582 to 975 of the family's 1831-position model. Lineage: Eukaryota; Fungi; Chytridiomycota; Chytridiomycetes. The record is from RNAcentral.